AACUUUGCGCAGAGGCAAUAUCGUAACCAAUGAGGUUAAUCCGAAGUGCGAUUAUUGCUAGUUGAAAACUUCGAUAUCACCCUAACUUAACCUGUGGAUUAAGUUAGCAUGAUAUCGAAAAUAGAGAUUACACAAUUAGUUUUUUUUUUCCACAUUUUUAGGU
Molecule: small nuclear RNA, 163 nt
Organism: Melitaea cinxia (Glanville fritillary)
Lineage: Eukaryota; Metazoa; Arthropoda; Insecta; Lepidoptera; Nymphalidae
Product: U4 spliceosomal RNA
Exons: 1
Source: RefSeq, a predicted model, not a curated record